RNAcentral lists this ribosomal RNA (594 nucleotides) under Triticum aestivum (bread wheat). Its description in RNAcentral is "partial small subunit ribosomal RNA". Lineage: Eukaryota; Viridiplantae; Streptophyta; Magnoliopsida; Poales; Poaceae. The record is from RNAcentral.
AUGAAUUGGUGUAAGUUUAUUGCCAACUUCAUGCACGAUGCAUUCUCAAGCAAGAUGUACCAAAAGGGUUGUCGACUGCAUUUAAUGCUCAUGUAUGUCGACUGUCUUGAUCUGUCCACCGUGGAUUUCACUGGGAUAGGAGGCCCGCCGCCUAUGCACAAGUUUGUUGUUUCUGCAUGGACUAUCAACACUGUCAAGGUUGUGCUUGCCACAGACAGGCUGAUGGCCAAGCAUGCUAUAGACUACAGCGUGUUUGGGGGGCCUCAAAACAUUGAAAAGUGGAUGGACGUGCACUCAGCUCCGUCUUGCCCUACUGAGGCGAGGGCACCUAUUGAGCAUCUAAUUGGGCAGUUUGCAUCCGGAAUGACCGGCUUGCUCGGGAAGUUGGUUGAGGGGUGGAUGUCCCUCAGUGGCUCUAACAGCGACGCGGUUGCGAGGCAGUUCACUUCAUUUGUCCCAGAACGUACACAUCGGCCAACCGGUUGCCGUGGCCGGGUGAAGAAGACUGAUACGCGUGGGGCCAAUCAUAUCAUUAAGGACCCACUCGAACCUGCAUUCAAAGUUGUCAACAGGGGGCAACUCAGAUGUUCAUGA